GCCCGCCUAGCUCAAUCGGAUAGAGCGUCAGACUCUUAACUGGCCAUAGGCGAUGUGAUCUGAAGGCUGCGAGUUCGACCCUCGCGGUGGGCU
Transfer RNA from Termitomyces sp. J132, 93 nucleotides. It matches the Rfam family "tRNA". From Rfam's summary of the family: Transfer RNA (tRNA) molecules are approximately 80 nucleotides in length. Their secondary structure includes four short double-helical elements and three loops (D, anti-codon, and T loops). Further hydrogen bonds mediate the characteristic L-shaped molecular structure. tRNAs have two regions of fundamental functional importance: the anti-codon, which is responsible for specific mRNA codon recognition, and the 3' end, to which the tRNAs corresponding amino acid is attached (by aminoacyl-tRNA synthetases). tRNAs cope with the degeneracy of the genetic code in two manners: having more than one tRNA (with a specific anti-codon) for a particular amino acid; and 'wobble' base-pairing, i.e. permitting non-standard base-pairing at the 3rd anti-codon position. The record is from Rfam. Lineage: Eukaryota; Fungi; Basidiomycota; Agaricomycetes; Agaricales; Lyophyllaceae.